Molecule: non-coding RNA, 917 nt
Organism: Lupinus albus (white lupine)
Lineage: Eukaryota; Viridiplantae; Streptophyta; Magnoliopsida; Fabales; Fabaceae
Source: the annotation of a GenBank genome assembly
GGGGAUUAGUUGAAAGGCAUAGGGGUAAAGUGGUAAAAACACAGAUGAGGUUAUUGUUGAGGAAGUUACCCCAUUACCUUCACAAACACAGAAACGAAAAGGGCUUGUAAAUCCCUAAAUCAAGCUCCCUUAUUCAUCUUCAUCAAUGGUGGCAGCGAUUUCGGCUUACCGGCAGAGGAAACGGCGGCGUGAUUCGUGACUGGUAAUCCGACGGCUCGGAUUCAUGGUUCAAGCAUUGUUGGUCGUCUCCUUCCUCUUUCUUCUCCGACGAGCGACGACGACAAUGGCGGCAAAAGUAAACGACUCACUGUUUUGACGCUUGAGACCAUUGGGAUUGAAACGGAUUAGGUCAAUUCUACUUUUGGUGCAACUCCUGUAUUGAAAAAAAAACCUGCAUGAUGAUUCAGAAGCUUUUGGAGAGCUAGAUACAUUAUAGUUCCCUGUGUGGUAUAAAAGUCUUUCUUCAGUUUCCUCAUCAUUCUAUGAAUUUCGUACACAUCUUCUAUCUUGCAAUGAAAAUUCAAAUGCCCUUUUGCAAGCAUGAAGGAAUCUUCACGGUCAAGUUUGUGCCUUAGCAAAUCAGCAGCAGUCCAACACAGAGAUAAUUGAAAAGCAUUUGCGAUUGUGAAUUAGUGACAUGCAUGAACAUGUAACUAUACUAGCACUAUAUUUUCUGCUUCCAGAUUUAACCCCUGGUUUUGUUGCAUUGUUGACUGCACUAAUAUUUUCUGCAUACCAGGCAGGCUUAAGAUUCUAAUCAAAACCAGUCUGAUGUAAGAUUUUUGUUUACUGAAAUUUCUUUUUGGGCUUUGGUUCAAUGGCAUGAAUUACAAAAUUAAAUGAGCAUGAAUGCAGAACUAUCGAUAGUAUGUUUACUGACAUUUCCUGAUUUAUCAAAUGCAAAUUUUAUUAAGUAG